GCUAACUUCGUGCCAGCAGCCGCGGUAAUACUUAGGGGGCAAGCGUUGUUCGGAGUUACUGGGCGUAAAGGGUGCGUAGGCGGUUUUUUAAGUCUGGUGUGAAAUCUCCCGGCUCAACUGGGAGGGUGCGCCGGAUACUGAGGGGCUUGAGUGUGGGAGAGGAAAGUGGAAUUCCUGGUGUAGCGGUGAAAUGCGUAUAUAUCAGGAGGAACACCUGUGGUGAAAGCGGCUUUCUGGACCAUUACUGACGCUGAGGCACGAAAGCGUGGGGAGCAAACAGGAUUAGAUACCCUGGUAGUCCACGCCCUAAACGAUGCAUGUUUGGUGUGGGCCGUUCAUUUGGUCCGUGCCGNGAACUAACGCGUUAAAUAUGCCCCCUGGGGAGUACAGUC
RNAcentral lists this ribosomal RNA (392 nucleotides) under uncultured Acidobacteriota bacterium. RNAcentral's name for it is "bacterial SSU rRNA". It matches the Rfam family "Bacterial small subunit ribosomal RNA", at positions 496 to 887 of the family's 1533-position model. Lineage: Bacteria; Pseudomonadati; Acidobacteriota. The record is from RNAcentral.